CCUACGGGGGGCAGCAGUCGAGAAUCAUUCACAAUGGGGGAAACCCUGAUGGUGCGACGCCGCGUGGGGGAAUGAAGGUCUUCGGAUUGUAAACCCCUGUCAUGUGGGAGCAAAUUAACAAGAUAGUACCACAAGAGGAAGAGACGGCUAACUCUGUGCCAGCAGCCGCGGUAAUACAGAGGUCGCAAGCGUGGUUCGGAAUCACUGGGCGUAAAGCGUGCGUAGGCUGUUUCGUAAGUCGUGUGUGAAAGGCGCGGGCUCAACCCGCGGACGGCACAUGAUACUGCGAGACUAGAGUAAGGGAGGGGGAACCGGAAUUCUCGGUGUAGCAGUGAAAUGCGUAGAUAUCGAGAGGAACACUCGUGGCGAAGGCGGGUUCCUGGACAUUAACUGACGCUGAGGCACGAAGGCCAGGGGAGCGAAAGGGAUUAGAUACCCGGGUAGUC
Molecule: ribosomal RNA, 446 nt
Filed under: uncultured bacterium
Lineage: Bacteria
Description: partial 16S ribosomal RNA
Rfam family: Bacterial small subunit ribosomal RNA
Source: RNAcentral